CGGGAAGUAGGUUAGUCGGCUAUACCGCCAGGUUCGGGACUUGGAGGUCGCGGGUUCAAAUCCCGCCUUCCCGA
Molecule: transfer RNA, 74 nt
Filed under: Treponema sp.
Lineage: Bacteria; Pseudomonadati; Spirochaetota; Spirochaetia; Treponematales; Treponemataceae
Description: tRNA-Pro
Rfam family: tRNA
About the family: Transfer RNA (tRNA) molecules are approximately 80 nucleotides in length.
Source: RNAcentral